GACGAACGCUGGCGGCGUGCUUAACACAUGCAAGUCGAACGAAGAGCGAUGGAAGCUUGCUUCUAUCAAUCUUAGUGGCGAACGGGUGAGUAACGCGUAAUCAACCUGCCCUUCAGAGGGGGACAACAGUUGGAAACGACUGCUAAUACCGCAUACGAUCUAAACUCGGCAUCGAGGAUAGAUGAAAGGUGGCCUCUACAUGUAAGCUAUCACUGAAGGAGGGGAUUGCGUCUGAUUAGCUAGUUGGAGGGGUAACGGCCCACCAAGGCGAUGAUCAGUAGCCGGUCUGAGAGGAUGAACGGCCACAUUGGGACUGAGACACGGCCCAGACUCCUACGGGAGGCAGCAGUGGGGAAUCUUCCGCAAUGGACGAAAGUCUGACGGAGCAACGCCGUGUGAGUGAUGACGGCCUUCGGGUUGUAAAGCUCUGUUAAUCGGGACGAAAGGCCUUCUUGCGAAUAGUGAGAAGGAUUGACGGUACCGGAAGAGAAAGCCACGGCUAACUACGUG
This 510-nucleotide ribosomal RNA is filed under the name uncultured bacterium. RNAcentral describes it as "partial 16S ribosomal RNA". It matches the Rfam family "Bacterial small subunit ribosomal RNA", at positions 28 to 507 of the family's 1533-position model. The record is from RNAcentral.